Molecule: transfer RNA, 72 nt
Filed under: Pelodiscus sinensis (Chinese soft-shelled turtle)
Lineage: Eukaryota; Metazoa; Chordata; Testudines; Trionychidae
Rfam family: tRNA
About the family: Transfer RNA (tRNA) molecules are approximately 80 nucleotides in length.
Source: Rfam by way of RNAcentral
UCCCUGGUCAUCUACUGGUUAGGAUACAGCACUCUCAUUGCUGUGGCCUGGGUUCGAUUACCAGUUGGGGAA